RNAcentral lists this long non-coding RNA (11404 nucleotides) under Phaseolus vulgaris (common bean). Its description in RNAcentral is "long non-coding RNA (PVUL_LNC001828)". The record is from RNAcentral. Lineage: Eukaryota; Viridiplantae; Streptophyta; Magnoliopsida; Fabales; Fabaceae.
UGGAACUAGACUGGAGGUGGGUAGAGUUGGAUAACCUUCUUCCACGAUGGUCUACUGCUUAUGUCAUCCCACCAACCACUCACAUGCUUCCUCUCUUUUAUCAGAUACCCUUUAUUCAUUUGGUUCACUAUAAAAUAUGUAAAUGGAAGAUGACUUAUAUCAGCAAGACUGAAGAAAUCCCCACCCAAAUACUUGCUCUUUGACAGCCUCUCCUCAUAAACAUCCAACACCUUCAACAGCUUUGCUUCACUCUCUUCAAUCACCUUUGGAUCUGGAGUCAUGCCAAAUAAUGGAGCAAACAACAGAUGCACAGCCAAGUCAUAAGCUGGUGGGUGAAAGUUAUGUGCUUCAACUUCUAGCCAUUGUUCCACAACACCCCUCUCUUCCGGUGUCCUCCCCAACAGCUCAACCCCCUGAGAUCUGUAUUUGUCUGCAUAAUACCUCAUUAUAGCACGAGAUUCUGCAGAAACAGAUCAAACACAGACAAGUUACAAGGUGGUAUAGCAGUAAGAUAAGAAAAAAUAACUGAAGAAACAAAAUAUGAACAAAAAAGCAAAAGUAUAUAGGAGUUGAAAGUGUAACCAUAUAAGGUGUAGUCUCCAUCUUGGAUGACAGGAACAACUCCAAAGGGCUGCAGAUAUGAUGAAUAAAGAAAAUGAAUGAGAAGAUAAAGAAAGACGUAAUCUUGAAGAGUGAUGAGGGUGGGCAAAAAAAGAAAAUUGAACCUGUAACUUGAGAAACUCGGGAUCCUUGUGCUCUCCCUUAGUGAGAUCGACUGGGACAACCUCAAAUUCGACGUCCUUCUCAAGGAGACAUACUAGCACCCGUUUAGUGGAAGCACAGUGAGGACCGUACACCUUCACUACCAUGUUUUGAUUCUCUUCAGAAACCCUUCAACAAGACUGAAGCAGUGAUAGAGCCAAACACAAUUUCUACUUCCUGGUAACACUUCUUAUAGUGCCCCUACGCGUGAAAUCAAGCGCAUGUUUUCACACUGUAGUUGUAAAUGGAUUUGGAAUGGGUAGGAUAGAAUCAAACUCUUUUACUUAAUAUAAUAAAAGAUUUGUGUGGAAUUAGAUAGAAGUUUCGAGUGGUUGGUCCUUUGGGAAAAGAGGAAAAAGAAGAUGUGAAUAUAAAUAUUACAACUACCAAACAUGAUGGGCAAUGAUUUAGAAAGUAAAGAUGAGGGGGUGGAUAUUAUUGUGGUCGACAAAUAAUCAAUGUGCUACCUUUAAUUGUACAGAAUUCGGAUUACUGUGUAUAAAAGUAUAACAUUUAUAUUGAUGUCUAUUAAAGUUAAAUUUAUAGUAUUAUUUUUUUAUUGAAAGUUAAGAAAGAGAUAAAUAUUUUAGAACGUGUUUCCCACCAAAAAAAUAAAUAAAUAUGAAGUAGAAAUUAAAGAUGUUUAAUUAAAAGUUGAGGUAUUAUUUAUAAAUAAACAAUGAAAUAAAAAAUUAAAUAGUUUAAUAAUUAUUGACAUAUUUUAUUUUUAUUGCAAUACAAACAUUUUAAUUAUGUUAAUUUCAUUUGAGUUCUAUUAAUAUUUAACACAAUUAAACAAGUAUUUCGUCUUUAAUAAGUUGUCACGUGUGUUUGUGUUUAUUGGAGAAGAAAAAUAAUAACUUUAACCUGUAAUUAACUUUAACCUAUAUUUUCUAUUUUAUACAUUAAAAAUUCUUUGUGAUUCUUUUAAAAUUUUUGAAUAAACAUACGUGAUAGUUACAAAUACAAAAGUAUUUAAUUGUAUUAAAUAAUAGAAUCCAACAAAAUGUAAGUUUUUUUUAUUAAAAUAAAAAACUUAUUGUAUUGAAAUAACUAUUUAUCCAAAUAAAAAUAAUAUUGUCUUUUGAAAUAAGUGACUCCCAACCAAAAAAUCCAACUUGUUUUAUUUAUUAAGAAUUAUUGUUUUCUCAUGAUUCAAGUAAAGCAUUAGUUAAAAUUUAGAAAAUAUUUCUUAAAAUGGUCUAGCAAUAAAAUUGAAUAAAAAAAAAGUGUCAUUUUCGCUUCUUAAGAACAUAAGAUGGCAAAUAAUUGGAAGUUCUAACAAUUAUAUCCCAUAUUUCAUAAUUCAAGUAAAGCCUUAGUAAAAAUUUGGAAAAUAUUAAAAAUGUCUAAGAUUGAAAAUAAAAUAAAUAAAUAAAAAAGUGCUCUUUUCGCUUCCUUGGAAAGUUGUAAGAAUUAUAUCCUCAUAUUUUUUCCUUUUUUCUUCUAAGGACCAACUCAUCAACACCUACUUAUUAUUAUUAUUGUUAUCUAGUCAAAAUAACCAUCAAUUAUGAUAAAAGUACUCAUAACACUAAGACCUACUAAACCUCGCGACUGGUCGAAUUGAUAUUUUCAAUUAAUUAACCUAUUUUUAAAUUAAAUAUUUAAAUAAAAAUAUUUUAAUAGAUUAAUUUUCUAUAUUAUAUUAUUCGAAAGAUGUAGAUAUGAAAUAGUAUUGUAACUUAAAUCAAUAAUAAUUGCAAAUUAAGUUUCAGUUAAUUAUAAAAAUAAUUUAAUACAUAAAUGCAAUGGUUAAACUAUAAGAAAAGUUGUUUUUGGAAACUAAAUUUUUGAGUUUCUAAAAUGAUAAAAUUAGUCAAUAACUUAAUUAGAAACUAAUUUAAAAUCUAAUUGUAGUAAGUGGCUAAAAUCAUCUUCGUUAAUUUUAUAUACCAAUUUAGAUUCUAAUUUAGAAACCAAUUUAGUUAUCAAUAAAAACCAACUUAGUGACCAAAUAUAUAGAAACUAAUUUAGUAAUCAAUUAUAUAGAAAUCAAAUUAACAACCAAUUUUAUUGAAACCAAUUUAGUGACCAAAAUAUAUAGAAACUCAUUUAGUGACCAAAUAUAUAAAUAUAAAAAAAUGGUCACUAUAAUGGUCUCCAAAUAAUAUAAUUUUUUGUAAAAAAAAAAAAUUUAUCAAAUGGAAAAAUCAAUUCAUUUGAAAUAUUUUAAGAUAUUCUCUUGUGUCUAAAACUAGUUUCAAUAUAAGUAUGCACAUGAAGGAAAUUAAAUCAUUAGAAGGAACAAUCCAAUUUAGCUUAAUCUUUCUUUGUCGAGCCUUAUUUAAAUUAUUUUUCAUUAUUAUAGCAUCUCGCAUUUCAAAAUUAUUUCUUGCCCACUUAUGAUCUGGUGCACAAAUCGAAAACUUCUUCUGCAUUAAUAAAAAAACAAAGUUAAUUAUAUGUAAAACUAACAUACAUAAUAAAAUUGAACUAAAUAAUUAAAUAAAGUUAGUUAUAUGAAAUCAACCAAAAACUCUCCGAACUACAAGUCUCUUGUUCUAAACACCAAAUAAGAUGCAUCUUUUAAAAAAGCAAACAAAAACCAAAUAGUUUUUUAUGACUAGUCGCUCGGAAGAGAAAAAUUAAUCAAGAAAUAUUGACCUUAUAAUUAUGGAUUGAUUCACUUCAUCUGCAAACAAAGCAAUAGACAGAUUAAAAAGUUAUAGUACAAAACGAAUGGAAACAGCUUAACCUUUUAAAACUUAAUUUCUAUAAAAAAUAAGGAAAAAGUUGUCUCGUAUCAUUUCUCGAAUGGCUGUCAGUAAUUGCAUAUAAAUGAGGGCUUUCACUUGCCUUACACUUGUAGGCUUCAAUAUAGUCAUUUUAUCAUACUAGAGAGUUUACUAUCAUUCGUGGGACUCCAUUAAACUUGACUUUCGACUCGUAAACUCGUAAGAGUCUACUUCAUAAAAAAAAUUUAACAAAAAAAUAAUUCAUGAAAACAAAUCCAUAAUAUUGAAAUAAACAAGUUCAUACACUAAUAAAAUAACUAAAACAACACAAAUGUUAUAAUUUAAAAGUCUCAUUCUUCUAAUUCUUCAAGAAAAUCAUCUAACUCUAAAACAAACAAUCAAUUAGUCAUUCUGCUUUAAAAUUAAACAAAAAUCCAAUAUGUCCAAAGCAGUAAAAGAACUUCAGGAUGUCCAAAAAUCUGCCCCAACCCAAUGAACAAAAACGCCCCAACCCAUUUUUAAAAGUUCAAACCUAAUUUUGAAAACCCUAACCCAAUCCGUCCUCACCGCAGCAGCAGGACUUACCCAUCAAAGUGUUUCGCGAACGGCGUAGUGUGACGAGGAUCAUUGUGAAACGAGGUGUGACAACCAGCGGCGCGAUGCGACGAGCGGUGCGGUACGAGGAGCAGUGUGGGGUUGUGCGAGGCGAGGAGCGACGCGGUACGAGGCAAGGAGCGGCGCGGUACGAGGCGAGGAGCGGUGCGGUGUGAUGAGCGGUAAAACCCUAAAAAAUCUAACCUAAUCACAAGGAAACACAUCGUUUUGAGUCCAUUUUACGCAACUCGAUAACUCGACCUUAAACUCACGAGUUUAGCCGAGUUUGACCGAGUCAACUUCGGAUUCGGGUUUACUCAAAAACGAGUUUACUCCCGAGUUGACUCGCCAACCUUCACCUGACUCUUAAACUCAAACUCGUAAGGGUUUACGAGUUAACCUUAGAGUUUGAUAAUUUGAUUAUUACCAUACAAAGUAACUUUCUUAAAAGGGAUUUAUGGCAACCAAAACAGGCCCAGCUUUCAUCUGAAUUAAAUAGUUAUGCACUUAAAGAGGUUAUGAUUAGGAAAAUAAAUCAAGAUAGAAAAUUAAGAGAUAUAAGCUUACAUAGAUCAUAUCUUGGUUGUAUCUAUAUUGCAGGUUGAAUAAAACUGCUGAUUCAUUUAAAUAACUAAAUAGAAGGUACCAUGAUAAACUGAUUUCAAAACACAGCAGCAGAGAAAAAUUGAAAUCCAAGGCCAAAAUUAUCUUUUUUGAACCAUAAGAAUUUGUAUCAUUCCACCUGUUUUCCCUAGAGGAUGUCAAAAUUGAUGGCAGGGGCAACGUAACGGAUACCAAGUCUUCAUCUGCAUUAGAUGGUCGGUCUUUUAAUGAUCAACCAAUUUAUUUUAAAUUCUAAGUGUACUUUCUUUUUGGUUUGAGGUUUAAACUAAAAAAAUAAAAACUUUGAAAUGUACUGAUGAAAAAUGCCACAAUAUUUACAAUACAAUAAUAUGAAACUAAUCUAAUCAUUUUAAUAUUAUCACUAAUUUAUAAAAGUAAAAAUUUAUGUUGGACUCCCACAACUUUUGUAACAUGGAUCAAGCAUCAUGAACCAGGUGCACACGAAAUAACUCAGUUCUAGAAGGAUUAUAAAGCCCUUAACCAAGAGAGGCUAGAAAGAUUAAAAAGAUACACCUCAUUGAGGAAAGAAGUGUUCACAACAAAGAGGAAAAAAAAGCAAUUUGUCAAAUACUUUAACAACCCAAGAUUAAUUUUCAGAGUAAACAAAAUUUUGGUUUAACUACAAUAUUAGUGUCAUUAACAAAGUGCACAAGAAAUUACAUACCUCACUGAGUACUAACACUACAAAGAGAAGAAAGCACAGUAAAUAAAAUUAUAAAGUUAGCCCUUCCACUCUACAGGUUCCAUGCAUUUGGUUUUGCAGAGGCAAGCAGAGGUAUUGAUCCCAAUCCCACAUAUUUGGAUUCUAGUUUCUACUAAUUAAAGCAUGCCUUGUCUGACAAAAAGUCUUUCCAAAGUUCCAAAAGCAUUUGUCUCAAUAAAGGGAAAACAACUAAACUAGUUGUAGGUGCGUACUAAACCUUUUGAUGCUCCAAAUACCAUUAUAUUAUACUACACAAAUCACAAUAUCUCCAAGUUCUAAAUAAAUAAAUAAAAACCACAUUAACAAUACCAUUGAAAUGUAAUCAGAUACACAAAAAUCUACACAAUUAGGUAGUUAGCACGAUGUCAAAGUUUCAAUAAACUUUGAAUUUUUGUUUGAGCUUGCAAGCCUAAGGCCUAACUAAACCAACAACACUGACCAUAUACCGUGCAUAAAGAUAUUCACAAGUUAAUGAAACUUGAUCAAACUAGACAAAUAAAACGAAGACCUCAAAUUAAUAUCCCCAUAUUAAUUAUGCAGUUGCUUAUUAUUUUACUAGAAUUACCUUCAAAACUAACAGCCACACAACUUACAACAGAGUACCUUUUAUGUGUAAUAAUCUAGGAUUUUAAGAUGGGAAGAUACAUUGAGUAAAGUUGUGAAGUUUCGAUGAGCAAACACAAAAAUAAAAGACAAAGAGCGAGAAUGAAACACGAAUUGAAACUUACUAUGAUAAGCUUAAAGAGGUUAGUCUCAUUCGAAACAGAGAAACGUCAUUGUUGCGGGUGCGUUACCGUCUCAAGGUGCGUUGUCGUUGUAGGGUGUGGUUUCCGGUUGUUGAGUGCUAAGAGUGAGAGAUGAGAAAAAAAGUUAAAGAAAACAGAUAAACUUUGAAAUUCAAAACCUUACAUACCAAUUGGUUAAAUUUAAAAAAAUUAAAUAAUUUUUUGAAAAAUAUGCAUCUUUAUUUAAAUUUAUUUAUUAAAAUUUUAAUUUAAAUAAUAUUUUGAAUUAAUCAUUAAUUUAAUUUUAUAUUUAAAUAAAAUUAAAAGAUUAAAAUACUAUUUUAAAUGUAAUUUUUAAAUUUAUAUUAAUUAUUUUAAUAUUAUACUAAAAUUAUUAAAUUAUUAAAUUUAUUCAUAUCAAUUUAAAAUAUUUUAUAAAUUAAUAAUUAAUUUUAUAAAAUUUAAUUACUUCAAAAUUAAUAUUUAAAUUCAAAUAAUAGUGACUAGAAAUUUAAGUAUCUCAUUAUAAUUAUAUAAUGAUUAGAAACUACAAAAUUAGUUUUAAAUUUUAUUAUUUUUAGUGACUAAAAUUAGUUUUUAAAAUAGAUUAAAAUUAAUUAAAAUAGUUUCCAAUUAUAUCUUAACAAGAUUCUCUCUCUCUCUAUCUCUCUAUCUCUAUCUCUCUCUCUCUAAUAAAUUGAAACAUAGAUGAAUAGAAUCUUACACGGACUACUUCUUAUGCGGGACAGGAUGGUCAAAUGAACUUGCAUUUCUUAUAUAGGUUGGACCAACCUGACCUGCGUUUUGCGAGUCAAACAUGGGAGGGACCAACCGACAUUGCCACCUAAUUUGACAUGAAAUAUUUGUUUUGCCCUUAAUGAUUUAAAAGACUUUGUCUUCUGGAUUUUCAUAUACGUAAGUUAAAUUACAAAGUUCUGGAUAUGCAAGUUCGAAACUAAUAUGUCACUUUCGGAUUUAGUCAUCCAGAAGCUUACCUGACCAACAUAAAUGACCUUCUGGAUGCCAUGAUCCAUAAGCAAACAUAAAUGAACUCGAGAUUCUAAUAUUUAACAUCAUUUAUAGCACACCAUUUCGAACAUAAAAAUCUGAAACUCAUAACUCACUUCCGGAUAUGAUCAUCCAAAAACUUAAAUGAAAUAUAAAAAUGAUCUUCUGAAUAUCGAAGUCCGGAGUAUAUAACAACCACAUUCAAAUUUUUGCAUCUAUAACUAAAUAUGAAGCCUUCCGAAUAUCACGAUUCGGUAACAACUUAACCCCAUUAUCAACUAAAACACAAAACGUAAAUAAUUUUCCUUACCUCAUAAAAGAUUUACACCACACCACGCUUAAAAGUAAUGACUUCAUUCCACCACCACACCAACCCAAUUCACCACCACUCAAAACGGUUCAGCAUUUAAAUCACAAAGCUUCACUUUUUUCUGUGAUGAACUAUGAUGGGAGCAACAGCAUUAAAACUGCAGAAGCAAUGCAUAGCUAUUUAAAGUCUGAAACCCCUACUUUCCAAUUUAUUUCAGUUCUUACUCUUUUAAAAUUUCUCUAAUCAAAUUUCAAAUAGUGCUUUUACCAUGCUCUUUGAAAUAUACAAAUAGUUUAUACAAUUAUACUAUUCAUUCCACUGGCUGCCUCAGAAAAGAAAUUGCACUGCUACAUAAAUAAUUACUUUAUGCCACUCAUUCCUAAAGCUAACUAUGACAGACAAAAUAUGCAAAAAGGAGUUACUUUCAUCUAUCAAAGUUGUGUGCUAUUAUUUUAUUUGACUAUUGAAAAUCUCACCUGUGAUGGUCUCUUUCUCACCCUCUAAUCUAUCAAAAAUCCAUUUAAUGGAGCCUAAUUUAGAAGAUUAAGUGCUUAUGUAGCCUAUUAAAUGCCUCUUAAGCAUCCACACGGCAAAGCUACCUAAGCAGUAAAGCACAUUAGCAGAAAGGCUACUUUAGUGACGUACAGAUUUUUGAAGGACUUGGGUAAUGAUAGUAAGUAUUUUUAGGAUUGAAGCAAAGUCAAAUUAAUAUUUUUUAGGUACCAAAGUGAUAACAUGUGGGUUUUGGCUUGAAUGUUUAUGGGCAAAAGUGAUUCAUUGUGGUACAUGGUGAUGAAAGUGAUGGCUAUGGCUUGGACCCGACCCGCUCUAGUCAAGUUCCAUUUUUUUUCAGUCAAGUCCGUUAGUAGAACCAGUGUAAAGCACUAUGUUCAAUUUAUUGGAACCCAUCAAAUAUAAAUUCUUGUGUGAUUGCCAUGCUCAGAGACCUUCAAACAACAUUACAGAAGAAACAAGAAAAACUAGCAAGCCUAGACAAAAGGAUUGAGGUUAAAAUUAAUGCAAGCAAUCAAAUACCUUCGUUCACAUCUCCGUUCGCCUUUGCUCGCACCUUCGUUCUCCUUCGCUCGCACCUCCGUUCGCCUCCGCUCACACCUCUGUUCGCCUUUGUUCGUACUUCCGUUCGCACCACGACCACCACCCACAACUUCCUCCUCCUCCUCCGACCACCGCCUGCAGCUUCCUCUGCACCUUUGUUCACACCACGUCCAUUUUUGGGUAUUUGGUGUCCUAAAAGCACCUACAACUUCCAAAUAACUCUGAAGCUUACAAAAAAUCAAAUUCCAAGUUUUAUCUAAUUGUCACAUUCUUUUUUUACUGAAGUCACCUCUUUAUAAAUAAUAUUAAAAAAUAUAGUAUUUAUGUAAAAUUAAGAAAUAAAUAUUAAAGGAGUAUUUAAAUAUCAAUGAUAAUAAAUAUAAAUAUUUUAAUUAAUUAAUAAUUUUCAUACUAAUACAUUUUAUAAUUUCUAACUAGCAGAUACUUACCUCUAUUAAUAAUUUUUAAUUGAAAAAAAUAGAAACAAGUAAUAAAACUGUUAUAAUAAAAAAAUUAAUAAUUAAAAAAUUAUUUACAAUUUAAUUCUGAAAAUUUAUUUAUUUUUAUAAAAUUAAAGUUGUUUUAAAAAGAUCAUUUUAUUUAAAUUUAAUUAUUUAGCAUAAUUUAUUUUUUUUAAAGGAUUAAUUUUAUUAACAAUAAUUAUUUUUUUUAUGUAAUUUUAUUUAAAAAAAUUAUUUGAGGUGAUAUUUUAAAAAAAUAUUUAAUAAAUUUUAUCUAAAUUUAAUAAAUUACAAAUAUAUUUGACACAUAUUUUUUAAAUAAAAAAAAUCAGUAAUACAAUUAAUUAUUUUUUAAAUGGAUGAGUACUCAUUAAUAUUCAAAGUGCUUGUAUAGUUUUUUAAAAUAAAAAUAAAUUAUUAUUAUCAUUAAUAGUAGUUGUAAAAUAAACAAGAUUUAGCGACUAAAAAAUUUCGAUGGCUAAAAAAUAAACGUGUUUAGUGGCUGAUUCAGUGAUAAAAAUAAAUAAUUAUAUCUAGUGACCGAAACAAAAUCGGUAGCUAAAACAUAAACAAAUUUGAUGGCUGGUUCGGUAGUAAAAAUAAACAUUUAUAUUCAGCGACCAAAAGAAAAUCGGUAGCUAAAAAGUAAAUAUAUUCAGUGCCUAAUUUGGUGGCAGAAAAAAAAUAAUAAAAUUUAGUGACCAAAAUAAAAUUGGUGGCUAAAAAAUAAACAUAUUCGGUCGCUAAUUCGGUUGCAAAUAUAUUUUUUCCAAUUUAUUCGAAACAAUCACCACUUUAACGACCAACGGUUUUGUCACUUUCAUGUUCGGUCACGGAUUCAUUCGCAAAACUAACUAACAUGAUUUUUCAUGUUCGGUCGCGAAUUCAUUCGCAAAACUAACUAACAUUAUUUUUUAUGUUCGGUCGCGAAUUCAUUCGCAAAACUAAACUAACUAGCAUGAUUAAUAAUUCAGUUAGUCGCCAUUUCGAAUUCGUUCGCAAAACUAACUAACAUGAUUAAUCAGUCGCUAUUUCGAUCACAAAUUUGUAAGUUAUUUCGAUCGCAAAUUCGACACUAUAUUGUUCGCUAAAUUCAGUAACUACAGUAUAAAAAAAACACUCUUCUCCAAAAAAUAAUUCAAAACAAAGAAGAUAGGACAAUGUCAAGAAUUCUCCAAAAAAUAAUUCAACACAAAGAAGAUAGGACAAUGUCAAGAAGAUAGGACAAUGUUGGACAAUAUCUUAAAUGAUAUGAUGAAGGGAGAAACACCCCUAAUUUUUUAGUAUCAGAUUUAGCGUUUUACUAUUGUUAUUAAGUUUUAUGCAAAAAAAAAUUUAAUCAAAAUAACAUAACUAAAUCUUUCAUAAAUAUUUUACCAUUUAAAAAAAAAAACAAUUUUUUGAAACUGAUGAAGUCAUACAUACUAAAUACAAUUUUAAUACAAUCUGAUAGUACAAAUAUAAUUCUGAAGUUGUAAUGAUUUCAAUACGAUAUAAUAUCACUAUCACUGAAGUUAUAAUGUCAAAAUACAAAUUCAAUUAUAGAAAUCUUUUUAAAAAAAUUGUUUUUAUAUUAUACGAAUUUAAUUAUUUCCUAAUUAAAAUCACAUUUUACAACUAUAAUUUCUUUAGAAAUUAUUAUCUACAUAAAACUCGUAUUUGACACAUACGAGGAUUUAUCCAAUUUUAAAACAAGAAACUAAUCUGUCCAUUUAGAAAAAUUUGGACUAAAAUUACACUAAUUUUUGGAGAAAGAAACCGACUAAGUAUUAUAAAUAAAACUGCCACAUAAAAACAUGACUUAUAGCAUUUUAGGACACCAAUUUAAAGUCUCCAACUGAACAUUAAGUUUCAAACUAUUACACUUUUAUUUAAGUUUAGAAAACAUUUGUUGUCUAAAGACUUUUGGGUUUAUAUUGCAACAUCACUCAUAAUUGGAUAAAAGUACAUUUAUUCUUGAGAAGCAGAAGCAGGUGCAGUGCAGAGAUGGAUGAUACUAAAUGCAUCAUCCAUGAACUUCAUUCUGGAACUAAACUGGAGGUGGGUAGAGUUCAAUAACCUUCUUCCAUGAUGGUCUACUGCUUAUGUCAUCCCACCAACCACUCACAUGCUUCCUCUCUUUUAUCAGAUACCCUUUAUUCAUUUGGUUCACUAUAAAAUAUGUAAAUGGAAGAUGACUUAUAUCAGCAAGACUGAAGAAAUCCCCACCCAAAUACUUGCUCUUUGACAGCCUCUCCUCAUAAACAUCCAACACCUUCAACAGCUUUGCUUCACUCUCCUCAAUCACCUUUGGAUCUGGAGUCAUGCCAAAUAUUGGAGCAAACAACAGAUGCACAGCCAAGUCAUAGGCUGGUGGGUGAAAGUUAUGUGCUUCAACUUCUAGCCAUUGUUCCACAACACCCCUCUCUUCUGCUGUCCUCCCCACCAGCUCAACCCCCUGAGAUCUGUAUUUGUCUGCAUAAAACCUCAUUAUAGCACGAGAU